UCUAUAUGUAAAAAAUAUAUAGUCUGGCCUGCCCACUGAAAAGUUUAAAGGGCCGCGGUAUCUGAACCGUGCUAAGGUAGCAUAAUAAAUAGUCUUUUAAUUGAGGUCUAGUAUGAAUGGUCGGACAGGAGGUACGCUGUUUCAAUUGCAAAGCAUGAAUUUUACUUUUAAGUGAGAAGGCUUAGAUUAAAUAGCGGGACGAUAAGACCCUAUAAAGCUUUACAUUUUGAUUGCUAGGUCGGAGAGAUCAGGGUGUUCUGUUCUUGUUGAUUAAAAUGUUUCGUUGGGGCGACGGGAAUAUAAAAAUAGUAACUGUUUUAGAAAUAAAACAAAUAUUUUUGGGGAAUUGAUCCUUUGUUAAGAUUACAAGAGUAAAGUUACUUUAGGGAUAACAGCGUAAUUUUUUUUGAGAGUUCAUAUCGACAAAAGUAGUUGCGACCUCGAUGUUGAAUUAAAGUUUCCCCAAGGUGUAGCAGUUUUGGUGGUAGGUCUGUUCGACCUUUAAAGC
This 508-nucleotide ribosomal RNA is filed under the name Caridina marquesensis. RNAcentral describes it as "partial 16S ribosomal RNA". It matches the Rfam family "Bacterial large subunit ribosomal RNA", at positions 1820 to 2594 of the family's 2925-position model. Lineage: Eukaryota; Metazoa; Arthropoda; Malacostraca; Decapoda; Atyidae. The record is from RNAcentral.